This 253-nucleotide ribosomal RNA is filed under the name uncultured bacterium. Its description in RNAcentral is "partial 16S ribosomal RNA". It matches the Rfam family "Bacterial small subunit ribosomal RNA", at positions 524 to 776 of the family's 1533-position model. The record is from RNAcentral.
UACGAAGGGGGCUAGCGUUGUUCGGAAUUACUGGGCGUAAAGCGCGCGCAGGCGGUUCUUUAAGUCAGGGGUGAAAGCCCAGAGCUCAACUCUGGAAUUGCCUUUGAAACUAGAGAACUUGGGUACGGGAGAGGUGAGUGGAAUUCCGAGUGUAGAGGUGAAAUUCGUAGAUAUUCGGAAGAACACCAGUGGCGAAGGCGGCUCACUGGCCCGGCACUGACGCUGAGGCGCGAAAGCGUGGGGAGCAAACAGG